UACGUAGGGGGCAAGCGUUGUCCGGAAUCAUUGGGCGUAAAGAGCGUGUAGGCGGCCAGAAAAGUCCGCUGUGAAAACUCGAGGCUCAACUUCGAGCUGUCGGUGGAAACUUUCUGGCUAGAGUCCGGAAGAGGAGAGUGGAAUUCCUGGUGUAGCGGUGAAAUGCGCAGAUAUCAGGAAGAACACCCGUGGCGAAGGCGGCUCUCUGGGACGGUACUGACGCUGAGACGCGAAAGCGUGGGGAGCGAACAGG
RNAcentral lists this ribosomal RNA (253 nucleotides) under uncultured bacterium. RNAcentral describes it as "partial 16S ribosomal RNA". It matches the Rfam family "Bacterial small subunit ribosomal RNA", at positions 524 to 776 of the family's 1533-position model. The record is from RNAcentral.